AUACGAAGGGGGCUAGCGUUGCUCGGAAUCACUGGGCGUAAAGGGCGCGUAGGCGGCCGAUUAAGUCGGGGGUGAAAGCCUGUGGCUCAACCACAGAAUUGCCUUCGAUACUGGUUGGCUUGAGACCGGAAGAGGACAGCGGAACUGCGAGUGUAGAGGUGAAAUUCGUAGAUAUUCGCAAGAACACCAGUGGCGAAGGCGGCUGUCUGGUCCGGUUCUGACGCUGAGGCGCGAAAGCGUGGGGAGC
RNAcentral lists this ribosomal RNA (247 nucleotides) under uncultured bacterium. RNAcentral's name for it is "partial 16S ribosomal RNA". It matches the Rfam family "Bacterial small subunit ribosomal RNA", at positions 523 to 769 of the family's 1533-position model. The record is from RNAcentral.